Molecule: non-coding RNA, 231 nt
Organism: Pelobates cultripes (western spadefoot toad)
Lineage: Eukaryota; Metazoa; Chordata; Amphibia; Anura; Pelobatidae
Source: the annotation of a GenBank genome assembly
GGAGAAUUGGAAGCAGCUCCAUUUUUUUGGGGCCCCUUACACAGCUCAAGGUCUGGGCCCCAGGGCCUGAUUGAGUAUCCCAUAAGGCCCACUCAUAAGUCCACUUAUAUGUUCCACCACCCAUGGAUGCAUUGUGUGUUUCUCUGUGUGUAAGGGAAGCAUGUUGUGUUUCUGUAUAUGUAUAGGGAGGCAUUGUGUGUGUGUGUGUGUGCGUAGUGUGAAAGAGCUCCC